CCACAGCUUCCUCUCCACCUCUUUCUUUGCCUCUUCCUCUGCUGUCGGUGGCGCCGCCUGGGAAAAAAAGAUCCGUCACUCCUCUACCCCUCGAAGGCCCAAUGGCUUCUCUGUCUUGGUCACUGGUGCUGCUGGGUUUGUUGGAUCACACUGCUGUCUUGCCUUGAAAAAGAGAGGAGACGGGGUUCUUGGGUUGGAUAAUUUCAACAGCUAUUACGACCCAUCAUUGAAAAGGGACAGACAGAAACUUCUGCUCAAACACCAAG
This 266-nucleotide unclassified non-coding RNA is filed under the name Hevea brasiliensis (rubber tree). The record is from RNAcentral. Lineage: Eukaryota; Viridiplantae; Streptophyta; Magnoliopsida; Malpighiales; Euphorbiaceae.